AUCCUCUUCAGUUCACAAGCAUGAUGAUUGGGCGUUCAUGCCAUUUGUGAAAUUUGCCUCCCUCUAAACCUUUUUAUGACAUCAGCAUAUCACCCAUCUGAAG
Small nucleolar RNA from Sciurus vulgaris (Eurasian red squirrel), 103 nucleotides. NCBI's taxonomy places the organism in Eukaryota, Metazoa, Chordata, Mammalia, Rodentia, Sciuridae. The record is from Ensembl.